CGGAGCAUGUGGUUUAAUUCGAAGCAACGCGAAGAACCUUACCAGGUCUUGACAUCCCUCUGAAGUAUGCUUAGCAGCAUAUGUCCUUCGGGACAGGGGAGACAGGUGGUGCAUGGUUGUCGUCAGCUCGUGUCAUGAGAUGUUGGGUUAAGUCCCGCAACGAGCGCAACCCUUGUGUUUAGUUGCCAACAGGUAAUGCUGUGCACUCUAAACAGACUGCCGUGGAUAACACGGAGGAAGGUGGGGAUGACGUCAAGUCAGCAUGGCCUUUAUGUCCUGGGCUACACACACGCUACAAUGGCCAACACAAUAGGUUGCUAAGCCGCGAGGUGGAGCCAAUCCUCAAAGUUGGUCUCAGUUCAGAUUGCAGGCUGCAACCCGCCUGCAUGAAGAUGGAGUUGCUAGUAACCGCAGGUCAGCUAUACUGCGGUGAAUACGUUCCCGGGGCUU
Molecule: ribosomal RNA, 450 nt
Filed under: uncultured Sedimentibacter sp.
Lineage: Bacteria; Bacillati; Bacillota; Tissierellia
Description: bacterial SSU rRNA
Rfam family: Bacterial small subunit ribosomal RNA
Source: RNAcentral